GGGCCCGCACAAGCGGUGGAGUAUGUGGUUUAAUUCGAUGCAACGCGAAGAACCUUACCAGGGUUUGACAUCCUGCGAAUCUCUUGGAAACAGGAGAGUGCCUUCGGGAACGCAGUGACAGGUGGUGCAUGGCUGUCGUCAGCUCGUGUCGUGAGAUGUUGGGUUAAGUCCCGCAACGAGCGCAACCCACGUCUUUAGUUGCCAGCGGGUAAUGCCGGGGACUCUAGGAAGACAAACCUCGUGUAGAGGUGGGAAGGUGGGGACGACGUCAAGUCAGUAUGGCCCUUACGACCAGGGCUGCACACGUGCUACAAUGCUCGGUACAAUGGGAUGCAACGCCGCGAGGUUGAGCUAAUCCAUAAACCGAGCCCAGUUCGGAUUGGAGUCUGCAACUCGACUCCAUGAAGUUGGAAUCGCUAGUAAUGGCGUAU
RNAcentral lists this ribosomal RNA (431 nucleotides) under uncultured bacterium. RNAcentral describes it as "bacterial SSU rRNA". It matches the Rfam family "Bacterial small subunit ribosomal RNA", at positions 917 to 1349 of the family's 1533-position model. The record is from RNAcentral.